AUAAUUGGCUCGUCCCUCUACCCUUCUCCACUUAAAUACCAGGCUUUUGUUUGCGACAAGGUUCGAGCCUUUGAGAUGUGCCUAACCCACACAAUUGUGGUCUUACCACCACUAAAGCCCAGGGACAAGAUAUCCCUAAAGUAGUGCUGCAACCAAACAUAGGACAGGAGUAAUAAUCUCAAAUAUAAUCCUUCCAUACAAUCCAAU
RNAcentral lists this long non-coding RNA (207 nucleotides) under Solanum tuberosum (potato). Its description in RNAcentral is "long non-coding RNA (STUB_LNC005942)". The record is from RNAcentral. Lineage: Eukaryota; Viridiplantae; Streptophyta; Magnoliopsida; Solanales; Solanaceae.